This 285-nucleotide ribosomal RNA is filed under the name uncultured bacterium. RNAcentral's name for it is "partial 16S ribosomal RNA". The record is from RNAcentral.
UAGAUUCUUGAUCCUGUCUUAGGAAAGUCGUAACAAGGUAACGGUAGAGUUUGAUCCUGGCUCAGAAGUCGUAACAAGGUAGCCGUAGAGUUUGAUCAUGGCUCAGGAAAGUCGUAACAAGGUAACCGUAAGUCGUAACAAGGUAACCGUAGAGUUUGAUCAUGGCUCAGGAAAGUCGUAACAAGGUAAACGUGAGUCGUAACAAGGAACCGUAGAGUUUGAUCCUGGCUCAGCCUUUGACUUAAAAAAAAUGGAGAAGUCGUAACAAGGUAACCGUAGAGUUUA